This 165-nucleotide ribosomal RNA is filed under the name uncultured bacterium. Its description in RNAcentral is "partial 16S ribosomal RNA". It matches the Rfam family "Bacterial small subunit ribosomal RNA", at positions 354 to 511 of the family's 1533-position model. The record is from RNAcentral.
GUAGGGAAUCUUCCACAAUGGACGCAAGUCUGAUGGAGCAACGCCGCGUGAGUGAAGAAGGGUUUCGGCUCGUAAAGCUCUGUUGUUGAAGAAGAACGUGGGUAAGAGUAACUGUUUACCCAGUGACGGUAUUUAACCAGAAAGCCACGGCUAACUACGUGCCAG